This is a non-coding RNA of Perkinsus marinus ATCC 50983, 82 nucleotides long. NCBI's taxonomy places the organism in Eukaryota, Perkinsozoa, Perkinsida, Perkinsidae. The record is from the annotation of a RefSeq genome assembly.
AAUACUUCGGCCAAGUGGUUAAGACGGCGGCUAGCUAAGCCGUUGGUCUAUGUGCGCGGGAGUUCGAAUCUUCCAGGUGUCG